RNAcentral lists this transfer RNA (69 nucleotides) under Bannacoris arboreus. Its description in RNAcentral is "tRNA-Ser". It matches the Rfam family "tRNA". From Rfam's summary of the family: Transfer RNA (tRNA) molecules are approximately 80 nucleotides in length. Their secondary structure includes four short double-helical elements and three loops (D, anti-codon, and T loops). Lineage: Eukaryota; Metazoa; Arthropoda; Insecta; Hemiptera; Urostylididae. The record is from RNAcentral.
AGCUAAUAAGUUUUAGAUAAACAUGUAUUUUGAAAAUACGAAAUGAAAGUUUAAUUCUUUCAUUAGCUU